Molecule: ribosomal RNA, 2319 nt
Filed under: Escherichia coli 99.0814
Lineage: Bacteria; Pseudomonadati; Pseudomonadota; Gammaproteobacteria; Enterobacterales; Enterobacteriaceae
Description: bacterial LSU rRNA
Rfam family: Bacterial large subunit ribosomal RNA
Source: RNAcentral
AGCGACUUAUAUUCUGUAGCAAGGUUAACCGAAUAGGGGAGCCGAAGGGAAACCGAGUCUUAACCGGGCGUUAAGUUGCAGGGUAUAGACCCGAAACCCGGUGAUCUAGCCAUGGGCAGGUUGAAGGUUGGGUAACACUAACUGGAGGACCGAACCGACUAAUGUUGAAAAAUUAGCGGAUGACUUGUGGCUGGGGGUGAAAGGCCAAUCAAACCGGGAGAUAGCUGGUUCUCCCCGAAAGCUAUUUAGGUAGCGCCUCGUGAAUUCAUCUCCGGGGGUAGAGCACUGUUUCGGCAAGGGGGUCAUCCCGACUUACCAACCCGAUGCAAACUGCGAAUACCGGAGAAUGUUAUCACGGGAGACACACGGCGGGUGCUAACGUCCGUCGUGAAGAGGGAAACAACCCAGACCGCCAGCUAAGGUCCCAAAGUCAUGGUUAAGUGGGAAACGAUGUGGGAAGGCCCAGACAGCCAGGAUGUUGGCUUAGAAGCAGCCAUCAUUUAAAGAAAGCGUAAUAGCUCACUGGUCGAGUCGGCCUGCGCGGAAGAUGUAACGGGGCUAAACCAUGCACCGAAGCUGCGGCAGCGACACUGUGUGUUGUUGGGUAGGGGAGCGUUCUGUAAGCCUGUGAAGGUGUCUGUGAGGAUGCUGGAGGUAUCAGAAGUGCGAAUGCUGACAUAAGUAACGAUAAAGCGGGUGAAAAGCCCGCUCGCCGGAAGACCAAGGGUUCCUGUCCAACGUUAAUCGGGGCAGGGUGAGUCGACCCCUAAGGCGAGGCCGAAAGGCGUAGUCGAUGGGAAACAGGUUAAUAUUCCUGUACUUGGUGUUACUGCGAAGGGGGGACGGAGAAGGCUAUGUUGGCCGGGCGACGGUUGUCCCGGUUUAAGCGUGUAGGCUGGUUUUCCAGGCAAAUCCGGAAAAUCAAGGCUGAGGCGUGAUGACGAGGCACUACGGUGCUGAAGCAACAAAUGCCCUGCUUCCAGGAAAAGCCUCUAAGCAUCAGGUAACAUCAAAUCGUACCCCAAACCGACACAGGUGGUCAGGUAGAGAAUACCAAGGCGCUUGAGAGAACUCGGGUGAAGGAACUAGGCAAAAUGGUGCCGUAACUUCGGGAGAAGGCACGCUGAUAUGUAGGUGAAGUCCCUCGCGGAUGGAGCUGAAAUCAGUCGAAGAUACCAGCUGGCUGCAACUGUUUAUUAAAAACACAGCACUGUGCAAACACGAAAGUGGACGUAUACGGUGUGACGCCUGCCCGGUGCCGGAAGGUUAAUUGAUGGGGUCAGCGCAAGCGAAGCUCUUGAUCGAAGCCCCGGUAAACGGCGGCCGUAACUAUAACGGUCCUAAGGUAGCGAAAUUCCUUGUCGGGUAAGUUCCGACCUGCACGAAUGGCGUAAUGAUGGCCAGGCUGUCUCCACCCGAGACUCAGUGAAAUUGAACUCGCUGUGAAGAUGCAGUGUACCCGCGGCAAGACGGAAAGACCCCGUGAACCUUUACUAUAGCUUGACACUGAACAUUGAGCCUUGAUGUGUAGGAUAGGUGGGAGGCUUUGAAGUGUGGACGCCAGUCUGCAUGGAGCCGACCUUGAAAUACCACCCUUUAAUGUUUGAUGUUCUAACGUGGACCCGUGAUCCGGGUUGCGGACAGUGUCUGGUGGGUAGUUUGACUGGGGCGGUCUCCUCCUAAAGAGUAACGGAGGAGCACGAAGGUUGGCUAAUCCUGGUCGGACAUCAGGAGGUUAGUGCAAUGGCAUAAGCCAGCUUGACUGCGAGCGUGACGGCGCGAGCAGGUGCGAAAGCAGGUCAUAGUGAUCCGGUGGUUCUGAAUGGAAGGGCCAUCGCUCAACGGAUAAAAGGUACUCCGGGGAUAACAGGCUGAUACCGCCCAAGAGUUCAUAUCGACGGCGGUGUUUGGCACCUCGAUGUCGGCUCAUCACAUCCUGGGGCUGAAGUAGGUCCCAAGGGUAUGGCUGUUCGCCAUUUAAAGUGGUACGCGAGCUGGGUUUAGAACGUCGUGAGACAGUUCGGUCCCUAUCUGCCGUGGGCGCUGGAGAACUGAGGGGGGCUGCUCCUAGUACGAGAGGACCGGAGUGGACGCAUCACUGGUGUUCGGGUUGUCAUGCCAAUGGCACUGCCCGGUAGCUAAAUGCGGAAGAGAUAAGUGCUGAAAGCAUCUAAGCACGAAACUUGCCCCGAGAUGAGUUCUCCCUGACCCUUUAAGGGUCCUGAAGGAACGUUGAAGACGACGACGUUGAUAGGCCGGGUGUGUAAGCGCAGCGAUGCGUUGAGCUAACCGGUACUAAUGAACCGUGAGGCUUAACCU